Long non-coding RNA from Suncus etruscus (white-toothed pygmy shrew), 554 nucleotides. RefSeq lists it as uncharacterized. The transcript has 3 exons. The record is from RefSeq and is a predicted model, not a curated record. Lineage: Eukaryota; Metazoa; Chordata; Mammalia; Eulipotyphla; Soricidae.
CCAGACUGGUGUGGAGCUUCGCUGUCCAAGACUGGUGGGGCACAGGGUGGGCUGCAGCUCUGCCUUUCCGCAAGGGCAGGAAGCAGUGUCGGCGUCAGCACCAAGAGUAUGGCAGAAGACAGUGGCCUAGUGCUCAGAACCCUUCCGGAACCCUGCACACAGUUGCUGAUGCUCCCAUGUGCCUGGCACAUGGCUCCUGAAAACUACAGGGACACAAGACUACCCAGAGGUUUCUCCUGAGCAGCCAUUAGCCAGCGGCAGACGGGUCUGACCCAGAGACACCAGGACUCACCACAUUGCUGUGGCCCAACCACGGGCUCAACGACCAGAGGUGCCCGAAACCACCCUGAGGAAAUGCCACAGAUUCUUUUUUGGGGGACGACUCCUUAGGAUGCUCAGAGGACCCUCUGAGCUCGUGCAGGCAGAGUUCAUGAACACUCAGAAGCACCUCUUGGCCCCAGCAGAGGUGGCCUGAACAGUGACAGCCUCCGAGCAACUCUGACAUCCACAGAGGAAGCACCAUCUCUCUAGUGGACAGGAAGCAACACAGGCAC